This 429-nucleotide ribosomal RNA is filed under the name Gemmatimonadota bacterium. Its description in RNAcentral is "Gemmatimonadetes bacterium partial 16S ribosomal RNA". It matches the Rfam family "Bacterial small subunit ribosomal RNA", at positions 355 to 776 of the family's 1533-position model. Lineage: Bacteria; Pseudomonadati; Gemmatimonadota. The record is from RNAcentral.
UAGGGAAUCUUCGGCAAUGGACGAAAGUCUGACCGAGCAACGCCGCGUGAGUGAAGAAGGUUUUCGGAUCGUAAAACUCUGUUGUUAGAGAAGAACAAGGACGUUAGUAACUGAACGUCCCCUGACGGUAUCUAACCAGAAAGCCACGGCUAACUACGUGCCAGCAGCCGCGGUAAUACGUAGGUGGCAAGCGUUGUCCGGAUUUAUUGGGCGUAAAGCGAGCGCAGGCGGUUUCUUAAGUCUGAUGUGAAAGCCCCCGGCUCAACCGGGGAGGGUCAUUGGAAACUGGGAGACUUGAGUGCAGAAGAGGAGAGUGGAAUUCCAUGUGUAGCGGUGAAAUGCGUAGAUAUAUGGAGGAACACCAGUGGCGAAGGCGGCUCUCUGGUCUGUAACUGACGCUGGGGCUCGAAAGCGUGGGGAGCAAACAGU